UACGUAGGCAGCGAGCGUUGUUCGGAUUUACUGGGCGUAAAGGGUGCGUAGGCGGCGCGGUAAGUCGGGUGUGAAAUCUCGGAGCUUAACUCCGAAACUGCAUUCGAUACUGCCGUGCUUGAGGACUGGAGAGGAGACUGGAAUUUACGGUGUAGCGGUGAAAUGCGUAGAUAUCGUAAGGAAGACCAGUGGCGAAGGCGGGUCUCUGGACAGUUCCUGACGCUGAGGCACGAAGGUCAGGGGAGCAAACGGG
Molecule: ribosomal RNA, 253 nt
Filed under: uncultured bacterium
Lineage: Bacteria
Description: partial 16S ribosomal RNA
Rfam family: Bacterial small subunit ribosomal RNA
Source: RNAcentral